AUUGAACGCUGGCGGCAGGCUUAACACAUGCAAGUCGAGCGGUAACAGGAGAAGCUUGCUUCUCGCUGACGAGCGGCGGACGGGUGAGUAAUACUUAGGAAUCUACCUAGUAGUGGGGGAUAGCUCGGGGAAACUCGAAUUAAUACCGCAUACGACCUACGGGAGAAAGGGGGCAACUUGUUGCUCUCGCUAUUAGAUGAGCCUAAGUCGGAUUAGCUAGAUGGUGGGGUAAAGGCCUACCAUGGCGACGAUCUGUAGCUGGUCUGAGAGGAUGAUCAGCAACCCCGGGACUGAGACACGGCCGGGACUCCUACGGGAGGCAGCAGUGGGGAAUAUUGGACAAUGGGGGCAACACUGAUCCAGCCAUGCCGAGUGUGUGAAGAAGGCCUUUUGGUUGUAAAGCACUUUAAGCAGUGAAGAAGACUCUAGGGUUAAUACCCUUAGACGAUGACAUUAGCUGCAGAAUAAGCACCGGCUAACUCUGUGCCAGCCGCCGCCGUAA
This 502-nucleotide ribosomal RNA is filed under the name uncultured bacterium. RNAcentral describes it as "partial 16S ribosomal RNA". It matches the Rfam family "Bacterial small subunit ribosomal RNA", at positions 30 to 523 of the family's 1533-position model. The record is from RNAcentral.